GACGAACGCUGGCGGCGUGCUUAACACAUGCAAGUCGAACGGAAAGGCCCUGCUUUUGUGGGGUGCUCGAGUGGCGAACGGGUGAGUAACACGUGAGUAACCUGCCCUUGACUUUGGGAUAACUUCAGGAAACUGGGGCUAAUACCGGAUAGGAGCUCCUGCUGCAUGGUGGGGGUUGGAAAGUUUCGGCGGUUGGGGAUGGACUCGCGGCUUAUCAGCUUGUUGGUGGGGUAGUGGCUUACCAAGGCUUUGACGGGUAGCCGGCCUGAGAGGGUGACCGGCCACAUUGGGACUGCGGUACGGCCCAGACUCCUACGGGAGGCAGCAGUGGGGAAUCUUGCACAAUGGGCGGAAGCCUGAUGCAGCAACGCCGCGUGCGGGAUGACGGCCUUCGAGUUGUAAACCGCUUUCGCCUGUGACGAAGCGUGAGUGACGGUAAUGGGUAAAGAAGCACCGGCUAACUACGUG
This 468-nucleotide ribosomal RNA is filed under the name uncultured bacterium. RNAcentral's name for it is "partial 16S ribosomal RNA". It matches the Rfam family "Bacterial small subunit ribosomal RNA", at positions 28 to 507 of the family's 1533-position model. The record is from RNAcentral.